UGCUCUGUGAGUGAGAAGAUGAUUUCUUCAACACAAGAGAGCACUGGCUACACUGAGGCAAGCUUUUCAGCCCCUCCACCCCUACCGGACCUUUCUCUUACCCCAGCUUCUUCCUGGUACUGCCCCACUGGCCCUAAGGAAAGGUACACCUAAUCAGGCUGGUCAGAUUUCUAACUUCUGCUAGCAGUAGGCAGGGCUCAAGCCAUGCAAACAUGUCCUGUGUUCUCUCUUCUACUCCCUCCUGCCAUGAAGCUAGUUGGUAAGUUGGGUUUUUCUCUUUCUUUGGGCAUUCCAUCUCUGUCUGUCCUGCACACAUGCCAUUGAGACAAGAUCAUCCAUGUUUUCAGGUAGAAGUGUUUAGAUUUUAGACAUGAGGACAAAGUAGGAGACUUCAUUGGACCCUAGUGCUUAGCCUUAUGGUUCAGCUCUCUUUUUGCAGGAGGCUUGCUUUUCAGCACCAGGUUCUUACCAUUACAAUGCUUCUUAUCUGUCUGCUGAUCCCUCGGAUCCUUUGAGCCCUCCCAAGGGCUGGUGGGUACAGAUGCUUGGCAAAGCAGAUGUUCACAUAGCCCCCUUAUUCUUCCUAUAGGCCUGGCAAAAUCACAAUUACCAAAGGACAGAAAUGUUGCCAAAUUUUCUCUCCCAAAGGAUUAAGUUACCCUAACCUGAUAUUAGAGAGACUGAGGUAUGAUUGGGUUUUAGAUAUGAUAAGGUACAUGCUAAUAUUUAUCUGGACAAAGAUAAGCCAAAUGCUGAAUGGCGAUUUGAGAGGGAAACAAAAAAAGGAUUUGAGACUCAGAGGAGGGCUUGUGGUGCUGACCGGAAAGAAGAGGAAAGCCUGGCUUAGGGAGAUUUUAUUGGCAGUCUCCAGGGUGGCUGCAGUCAUGAUUCAUUUGUACAGAGAAAUGGAAGUUUACUGACUAUCAAAGGACCGUGACUAAACUAGAAGGACAAUUAAGACUACCCAGAGAUGGCUAGAGUUCUGAAGGUACUUUGAGUCUCCACCUUUCUAAGAGUGGGUGAGUACAUCUACGAGAGUAGACACAUCGUAUUAGGCUAGAAGCUAAAUAUGCAUUG
This 1077-nucleotide long non-coding RNA is filed under the name Callithrix jacchus (white-tufted-ear marmoset). RNAcentral describes it as "lncRNA (ENSCJAG00000082475.1)". Lineage: Eukaryota; Metazoa; Chordata; Mammalia; Primates; Cebidae. The record is from RNAcentral.